UACGUAGGGGGCAAGCGUUGUCCGGAAUCAUUGGGCGUAAAGCGCGUGUAGGCGGCCAGAAAAGUCCGCUGUGAAAACUCGAGGCUCAACUUCGAGCUGUCGGUGGAAACUUUCUGGCUAGAGUCCGGAAGAGGAGAAUGGAAUUCCUGGUGUAGCGGUGAAAUGCGCAGAUAUCAGGAAGAACACCCGUGGCGAAGGCGGUUCUCUGGGACGGUACUGACGCUGAGGAGCGAAAGUGUGGGGAGCGAACAGG
Molecule: ribosomal RNA, 253 nt
Filed under: uncultured bacterium
Lineage: Bacteria
Description: partial 16S ribosomal RNA
Rfam family: Bacterial small subunit ribosomal RNA
Source: RNAcentral